ACCAUAAACACCAGAUUCAUCAACAAGAGAAGUAGUGGGUACUUUCUGUGAAGAUGGUUUGUCUCCAGUACCCUCUCUCAGAGAAAGGGCAGCCUUUUGUUUCACUAAAUCUUCAAGCCUGUCAAGGAUGUCAUCUAACUUUUCUUCCAUCCCCUUUUUAAAUGGAUUACGAGAAGAGAAAAAGCCCCUCACCUGAUCUCCAAAGGUACGAGAUCCAGCUUCCAUCUUCAAUCGAAAAGCUUUAUAAGCAAUCUCAUCCAACAAGUCAUCAGCUUCAUAGACAGCAUCUUUAAGCUCAUCAAGCCACUUUCUCACAGCUGAACUAGUAAUCUGCUUCUCCUCUGCAUCCUCCAGCACUCCGUUAACAGCGAACAUCAUCGUAUUCAACCUCUUUACCUGGGCAUCACUAAUCCUUCUGCCCUUAACUAAAUCAACAAACUCGCGAGAAGCCAUCCUAUCUAACAAGAAAUUAAGGAAAGAAGAGAGAAAUGAUCCUCCCACAGCCUCCAAAGCCAUAGAUUACUCCUCCUUUGGUGAUUCUAGCUAGGCACUGCAGCCAUAAGGGAGACUGGAUUAGCUGGUAACCGAUACUAUUAGGUUGUGUUACAGAAGCCUAGUUACUCUUCAAUUUCUAUGAACUUUCUUCUUCUUCACAAGUCUAUUCUUGUAUGUUCGCAAGGCAUCACCAUUGAAAUGCUAUGCUAGCAAACAAGUCUAUCCUCUGAAGUGAGGCUGAGAACUGCCACCAUCCACCGGCGAUUAGGAGAACAGGUUGUGCUUGGUAGAGAUAUGCAGGGAGAGUUUGAAAUCUUGAGGUAUGAUGACAAAUUGCC
RNAcentral lists this unclassified non-coding RNA (833 nucleotides) under Hevea brasiliensis (rubber tree). The record is from RNAcentral. Lineage: Eukaryota; Viridiplantae; Streptophyta; Magnoliopsida; Malpighiales; Euphorbiaceae.